UAACCUACUAAAUAGUGCUGCUAGCUUUUGCUGGUAUAGUCACUUCUUAGAGGGACUAUCGAUUUCAAGUCGAUGGAAGUUUGAGGCAAUAACAGGUCUGUGAUGCCCUUAGACGUUCUGGGCCGCACGCGCGCUACACUGACGGAGCCAGCGAGUAUUAACCUUGGCCGAGAGGUCUGGGAAAUCUUGUGAAACUCCGUCGUGCUGGGGAUAGAGCAUUGUAAUUAUUGCUCUUCAACGAGGAAUUCCUAGUAAGCGCAAGUCAUCAGCUUGCGUUGAUUACGUCCCUGCCCUUUGUACACACCGCCCGUCGCU
RNAcentral lists this ribosomal RNA (315 nucleotides) under uncultured fungus. RNAcentral describes it as "SSU rRNA". It matches the Rfam family "Eukaryotic small subunit ribosomal RNA", at positions 1344 to 1680 of the family's 1831-position model. Lineage: Eukaryota; Fungi. The record is from RNAcentral.